Long non-coding RNA from Columba livia (rock pigeon), 6940 nucleotides. RefSeq lists it as uncharacterized. The record is from RefSeq and is a predicted model, not a curated record. The transcript has 2 exons. Lineage: Eukaryota; Metazoa; Chordata; Aves; Columbiformes; Columbidae.
UCCCAGCUGCAAGCAAAGAAGUUUUAUCAGGACUGUGGGAAGAAGCACACUAUUUAUGGUUUUCUCAGAGCAUCCUUAGCACCCCGACAUUUUUCUCCGCCAAUGACCACAAUAUCAGAGAGGAAUGUCAAACCAUGCCUGGAUCCUUAAGGGAGCAUUCAACCUCCAGCAGAAGCCCAUGCAGCUCCGCCUCUAGUCAGCUCUUUAUAGGCUGUGGUUGGGGUAGUGAUUCAUAUUGUUUGCAAAUUGCUCACUUUGAGAAGCCUAAUUAUCUUUCAUAUUUAUUACAGAUAAAUAGAGUAUGCCUUGCCCACCAGCCUAUACAAGAUUUUACGCAAUUUUCAUAAUACCAGGAUGUCUUGAGAGUAUAAUAAUUAACAUAGACAUUAUCAUUGAAGGCAACAAAGUAAUCUAUUUGUCUAGUGAUGCAGCAGUCUUUUGAGAUAGAAGUUCCUCCUGACUGCAUUAAGUUCUUUAAGCAUACUAAAAUCAGUUGUUUUAAAAAUGAAAUAUUAGGUUUGAUCUUUGUUCAAGUCAUACUGCUGAUGAUUCAACUGGAUUUCAAGACAGCAAAAAAGCAAUGGCAUCCUAGUUAAUGCACUAAACAUGUAGUUUUAAGAAGUGUGUGCUUGCAAUCAAUAAUCGGAGUUAUUCUCUUGAGUAUACCAUUAAUUUUUCUUGUUUCUUGUUAAGCUUAGGCUUAGGUAGAGGUUUAAGCACACUUGUCAAGUAGCAUUCAUUUUAUGACUCUGUCUUGAAUUAAGUGUAACACAAAAAAGAAAUGAGUUAGAGGGGACAAAUGUAGGUAUUAAAUUUACAGUGCCAGUUUUGAAAAGGAUUGCUCUAAUUCUGCAUACACAGUUAUAUGGUGUCAAAGGUAGUGUUUAUGUGUCUAGUUUCAAAAUGUGACACUGCAAUUACAUGCUUUGUGUUGCAAUCUUUACGCCUGAACUCAAACUAUAUAUAUAUAUAUUCUCUAAACAAAUGAAUUGAAGAAACAACUGCCUAAACAAAGAGGGGUCACAGAAUUAGUGCUUUUAAGAGAAGUCAUGUAACCAAAGGACUAAAGCCCCUGUUCCCAUACAUAGGUAAAUCGAUUCGGUCAUACGUUCUGAGACAAUAUUAACAGCAUAAUUGUCUAUUUAUAUUAGCACUUGGAUUUUAUUUGAUAAGAACUGAUUCAGAAUAAUGGGAAUAUCAUCUUGAAAUACCCAAUAGUACUACAUAUUGCUACUAUAUAACAAAAAUGGCAAAAUGUAGGUAGGUAUGGGCUUGCAUCAAAAGGAGCCAGAAGGCUGAGGGAGGUGAUUCUGCCCCUGUGCUCUGCUAUGUUGAGAUCCCACCUGGAGUCCUGUGUCCAGCUCUGGAGCCCUCAGUACAGCAAACAUGUGGAUCUGUUGGAGAGGGGCCAGAGGAGGCCACAAAAUGAUCAGAAGGCUGGAACAGCUCUGCUGUGAGGACAAGCUGAGAGAGUUGUGGCUGUUUAGCCUGGAGAAAAGAAGGCUCUGGGGAGACCUUAUUGUGGCCUUUCGGUACUUAAAGAGGCCCAUAAGAAAGAUGGGGACAGACUUUUUAGCAGAGCCUGUUGUGAUAGGACAAGGGGUAAUGGUUUUAAACUAAAGGAAUGGAGAUUCAGACUAGAUAUAAGGAAGACAUUUUUAUUAUGAGGGUGGUGAAACACUGGAACAGGUUGCCCACAGAGGUGGUAGAUGCCCCAUCCCUGGAGACAUUUAAGACCAGGCUGGACAAGGCUCUGAGUAACCUGAUCUAGUUGCAGAUGCCCUGUGCAUUGCAGGGGGUUGGACUAGAUGAUGUUUAAAGGUCCCUUCCAACCCAAAGUAUUCUAUGAUUCUACGUAGAUGGAUUUUUUUUAACCUCCAACAAAACCCAUGUUCCUUAAAUGUACCAUAUUGUUCAAAUCUUAUAAUAUUUAUUUUUUAAAUAGUAAUUAAGGUAUUAUAUUGUACGCUUCCAUUGCAUUUUCACACCGGCUUGUAAUUCAGCUGUUCAACUUGCUUCAGGGCAGGUCAAAAAAGCAUAAAACUUUUUAAAUAUUUUUUUUUUUUUAGUAAUGUGAUUAAGAAGCAUAAAUGAUAUUGUAUGCAUCAAUAUUGUGACUCUAUCCUGCUUAGUAUCUCCAGGAAAGUAACACAGAAAAUAAAUAUCCUGUUUUCAAAAAUGACUUCUGCAAACUCUCUCUAAUGGCUUUUUGUAACAAAAUUAUUUAACGUAUUCCAAGAGUUUAAAAAAGGCUUUGGUAUUGUGUAAAUAAAAUAGAUGGCUAGAGUAAACAAAUAAGGUUAGCUGUGGUUAACUGUCCCAAUAAACCAACUUUGAUUAACUCUAAGCAAGUGUUUGCUGGGCCUUUUAUUCUUCUUUCAUAAAUUAAAACUGAAAAAUUAACACAGGCAGUGUGAAUUGGUAACAAACUUUUAAACACUGGUUAUUUUCAGUCUGCAUGAAUAUUUUCCUCAAAGUACUUUGUCCUGUGCGAAGAAAUAGGAAUUGUGUCUCUCAUGCAUUAAUUUGAUGAAUCAUGGGCAAACAGUUGGAUCUGUGGGAUCACCCAUUCUCCUGGAGACUACUUUCCCUUUCUGCUGAUACCUGUGUCAUUGUGGACUUGCCUCAUACCUGGGUAGAAGCCCAUUAGCUGCCUUCAAGCACAGAAGAUGGGAAGCAUCUGCUCCCCGUGGUGAGUUUUCCCUCCUUGUGGAGCAGGUUCAGGAAUGGCUGAUGUCACAAAAGUUUGCAGCUGGCCGGUGCCAACUAAGGACAGCGACCAGAACACAAAGUCAAAAGUAACAAGGGAAGAUUGCAUGCACAAGAGCAUUCUGAGUGCAGUGAUAGCUUGUGUCACCUCUUCUCACAAAGGCUUCAGCUUGGAAGAUGAGGCUGAAAUGUGGAAGCAGUCCAUCUAAAUGAAGGCCAUCAAGCAGAGGAGCAACGCAGACCAGAAGAGCCUCCAACAGUGGACGUACCCUGCUGUUGUGGCUGUCUGUGCUCGCUCCCUCAUUCCUUUGUGAAAAACUCGAGGUCUUUGGAGUGACUAUUUGGAUAGUUAUCUCUCUUGUGAAUUUGUUGCAAUUUUUUGGCUUGUUGCACCUCUCAAGACAAUUAAGCAGGCCUUUCUAACUUCGCCUGUACUUGACGAACAAAACUGGAGUUGGAUUGGAUUGUAAAUAUAAAAGAGAUGGCUCACCUGAUAAAAUAUGUAUUCUCCCCAUUUCUCUAUGACGCUGUUUGCUACUCUGGGUUGCUGGCUUUUUGCUUGACUAAUCCAUGAACUUUUUACUUUAAUACCAAUCACAAAUGUCAGAUAAUGCACCGAAUUUUAACUCUGAUUUGAAUCAUUCCUCAAGUAACACACAAAAAAAUGACUGCACACAAAGUGCUGUAGGUUUGCAUAAUUUCUCCGUACAGGCAACCCUAGGAGAACUAUUUCUGCUGUAGUGAUGUGUAUGCAUAGUUCUGCAGUAGUGUGUCUGUAUGAAUGUGGGUUUGUAUACAUUCUUCAAUCCCAAAAGUCAUGAAUUUAUUUAAAAAAAAAAAAUAACUGGGCCUUUUGCUUUAAGCCUUCAAAUGCACUUUACAAAUUCUGCACUGAAGGUUCCUUCGUUUUACCAUUUUUCUAGGCCAGACUUUUGACUAUUAAGCUGCUCCCGCACCCCAUGUUGCCUGUGGUGGAAAAGUAUCUAUAGUGCUUUUAGCCUCUGAUUUUAGCUGUCUGGUACAAAAAGAAGGGAAGGAAGAAAAGGGCAGGGUCUUGUCAACUGUUGUAGUUUCCAAACAUGUUUUUUAGGCUGGAGAGAUGUAGAAUAAAGAAUGUGCUUUUCCAAUCUGUUUGCUACCACGCUGCUACUCAGAGGAGGUGCAUUAGAUGGCCUGCACACUGGUGGAUGCUAUCAGUCCUGGGUGGUGUUAACGGCAUUUGCUGGAGCAGGGAACCAAGAAUGGUUAAUUUCCCUUUGAAUGGCCCCUUUGAUAAUUACAUGCAUGUGCAUAUGUGUACACAUAUACACACGUGUAUCUCAGCAGUUUAUUUGAUGAUGUGUUUAUUGCACAAAGGUAAUAAAUGCAUUAGUUAUACUUGGUGUAUUAGUUAACUCUGUUAGCUACAGUGUGUUGCAAACCUUUUUUGCUAAUUCACCUUGGUAUUAAUUCUCUCUGUUGCAAGUUUCAGGCUUAUUUUGUUUAGCUUUGUAUUACAAAAUUGUAGUUGGCAGCUUUAUUAAAUCAAACAACCUAAUUUCCUAUCACUUGUCAAGUAUUUGUUCAGUUACCUUCUCUGCACAAUCACCUUUGAAGAUGCUAUUUGUGCAGUAGGUGCCCUUUGGCAAAUAAAAAUACAACGAUGUGAAGUGGUAUAAUUUAAAGGUGACGUAUUUUUUCCCAGACCUGUGACCAAUCAUUCAGUCUCUCCCUCAUGUUUUUUAUGAUGGUAUUACGGUAACAAAACCAGGGAACCUCUUUGUGUGUGUAUCUAGUAGUGCUAGUGAAACAGACUUUUAAACAUCUAGUACUUCCUAAAUUUCUAAUGUGUAAAGUCAAGUGAUUUAAGGGAAUGGAUUUACAGGGUAAAUAGUUUCAAAAAUAGGCAGCUAGGGUGGAAAUACUUUAUUUUCUCUUCUUUUUAUCUUUGCUUAUGUGGUUAUAACUUCAGAAUUCAGCAUUCAGAGCUUCUGAAUGCUCUGUAUAAUUUAAAGUGUGUUUUACAAAAUUCACAUAUAAAAUGCUGUAAUAUUCAUUUACUGUUUUAUUUAUGAUAAGAAAGCAAAUCUAUCCUACUUACCCAGUAGCGUGAUUGCAAAUCAUCCUGAAUCUGAAGUGGAAGUCCUCUGAUUUCUGAUAGUAAAUCUUCUGUAAUUCCCCUGCUUUUUUCAAAGAAUUCUUAACAGGUGUUGAUUAAAAAAAAUCUGGCUGAGAGAAACUCUUUUGCUGGGACUUAAUCUUUAACUUUAGCUUUUAGUUACAACUGACAUUGAAAGCCAAGGGGUUGAGUGGUUAAAACAGCCUUGAAAGGGACGCUGCAUCCCUCAGGCCCAUGGAAUUGUACACAUCUUGUCUGACCCGCGUCUGGAGAGACGACGGCAGCUCCCGCUGCCUCCGGCCUCUGACAAAUGAGUUCUGGCAGAUUGUAGCGCAACAGCUUAAGGUGUUACCAUGCUCAGAUGCUUCUGAUCUCUCUGCUGGCACUUACUACCUGGGAGAGGGCUGCAUUUUGAUAAAAAUGAUGUUUUUCAUCAUGAUGCCAUGCUGUGAAAUGCAGGAGUCAGUAUGUAGACGUGUGCCCUGUUUUGCUGUGGCCUUGAUAAGUGGACAGAGAGCUCUGGGUGAGUUUGACUCUAUGCUAAAUAUACCUGAGCUCGUUUGUUAACAGAUAACACAGCCAGACCUUCACAAGGAAUUUACCUCUGGUCUUCUGUUAGAAGUGGGCACUUAGUUGACAGCAGUCAUUCACACAAAAUGACCUAUCUAAUUUUCUGCCAUUCAGCCAUUUUGUGUCAUUAGUUCAAAGUCCAAACUUUGUAUUUGCAGAAAAAGAAAUAUAAAAAAAUUAAGCAAUGUUUGAGUCUUUGCUGCAAUACUGACUUUUUCCAAGAACAGAGAAUAUUCAAGUAAGGAGAAUAUCUAUAUCCUUCAGAGAUGAUAGAAAUGUUCUGGUUCACAAUAAACAUGGCAGAAGGUUACUAAUCAAAAUAGGAAAAAUAAAAGUCGAUAGAUUGUGUAUUCCACUAAUUUAAUUUGCUCUGAAAACUUUGUUGUUGUAUCAUGGCAUUGAUGUAUGUUCAGGCAUACAUUUUCUCAGCUUCACUGCUCCUGGUUGGCCGCAUCAUAGCACUGUUUCUUCAUCUGUAAUGAUAGGCAAGCAAACGAAUUUGAAAAACUACCAACACAAAGUUCAGAUAGUCCGCUACUGCUUUUAGGACAACUGACUUUCUCAUUUUGCCCCUGAUGGGGAAGUGCAUCAUUUCUCUACCAUGUUCAGUUCUUGUUCUCUUGUUACACUUGACAGGGUUCCUGCAGCCAAGACAAAGUCAUCACAUAAUUUGCUGUCAUAAAAUGUUAUUACUUUUGUUAAAAAAAAAAAACUUUAUUCACAAUUUAUUGUUUUAUACAUGAGAUACUCUUGCUAAUAUUUUUUCCUCUAAUAUACAUACUCUUCUGCAUGUUAGUGUAACUUUAUAGAAGAAAGAGCCUGUUGUGCAGAGUGUACAGCAAGAAAAUACAUGAACAUUUCAAAACCUGGUUUCAUGAAAGGCAGUUUUAAGUUAGAAUACAGACUACUGUUUAUCAUGUUAAAUUAUAAGUGGUGUUAUUAAAAUAAGUUCAGAACAUUAUAUUUAACUUCCUAGUGGUUUUCCCCUAAUACAGACAGGACAAAAUGAUAAACUGAAGUGAUUAAUGCUUCAUCUGCAGCCUGUUCUGUUUUUCUGUCAUAUAAUUGCUAAGAAGGUUGCUGUUGAUCACCUUUGCAGCAAUGGCACAUUAAGGUCUAGUGAAUUAGCCAAUUAAGCAAUUUGUAUUUAUGUAAAGAAUGCAACGGGAUGUAUAAAAUAUAAUCAACUGAUGUUGUGUGCUGCUUGUCUUUUUGCUUUCUUAAUAAUUAGGCAACAUCUAUGCUUUCAGUGCAAAGUGAAUAAAUAAUUGAAUAAGGUAAAUAGUGAAGCUAUUAUGCAAUUACUCACACUUUGGGUAUAUUCUCAGUUUUUUGCAAGGCUAUUCACCUACUAGCUGCCAUUUAUGCCAAUAUUAGCCCUAUAUAUUCUUCUUUUUAUGUUAGCCUCCAGACUUAAAACUUUGUUUCAUGUUUUUCAUAUUCAUCAGAGGGAGAAAUAUAUCUGGUGUACUGUAUAUUUUGAGAAGUUUUCAAGAUUUCAAUUUGUCUUGGGUUAUAGCUUGCAUGAAAAAAAAAAAGCAUGAAAGUGCUACUAAUUUUUAA